UGGGGAUAGCUAUUAGAAAUAGUAGAUAAUACCGAAUACGAGCACAGGGGUUAGAGAUCUGUGAGGAAAGGAGCUAAGGGCUCCGCUGAAGGAAUGGCCUGCGGCCCAUUAGCUAGUGGUGAGGUAAGAGCCCACCAAGGCGAUGAUGGGUAUCCCGGCCUUAGAGGGUGAACGGACACAUUGGGACUGAGAUACGGCCCAGACUCCUACGGGAGGCAGCAGCUAAGAAUAUUCCGCAAUGGACGAAAGUCUGACGGAGCGACGCCGCGUUGGAUGAAGAAGGCCGGAAAGGUUGUAAAAUUCCUUUUGAAACGUGAAAGAAUAAGCGUUGUAGGGAAUGACAGCGUGGUGACAGUAGGUUUUGAAUAAGCAACGGCUAAUUACGUGCCAGCCGCAGC
Molecule: ribosomal RNA, 398 nt
Filed under: uncultured bacterium
Lineage: Bacteria
Description: bacterial SSU rRNA
Rfam family: Bacterial small subunit ribosomal RNA
Source: RNAcentral